GCCAGUGACACGGGGUGCCGCAUCGGGCGGCUGAGAACACACCCGUCGAACCUGAUCUCGUUAGUACGAGCGAAGGGAUGUCGCGAUGAGCGAUC
Molecule: non-coding RNA, 95 nt
Filed under: Leucobacter sp. Ag1
Lineage: Bacteria; Bacillati; Actinomycetota; Actinomycetes; Micrococcales; Microbacteriaceae
Also listed under: 1 other name
Description: TPP riboswitch aptamer (THI element)
Rfam family: TPP riboswitch aptamer (THI element)
About the family: Vitamin B(1) in its active form thiamin pyrophosphate (TPP) is an essential coenzyme that is synthesised by coupling of pyrimidine and thiazole moieties in bacteria.
Source: Rfam by way of RNAcentral